AUUGAACGCUGGCGGAAUGCUUUACACAUGCAAGUCGAACGGCAGCACGGGGGCAGCCCUGGUGGCGAGUGGCGAACGGGUGAGUAAUACAUCGGAACGUGCCCGGUCGUGGGGGAUAACGUAGCGAAAGUUACGCUAAUACCGCAUACGAUCUGAGGAUGAAAGCGGGGGACCUUCGGGCCUCGCGCGAUCGGAGCGGCCGAUGUCAGAUUAGGUAGUUGGUGGGGUAAAGGCCUACCAAGCCGACGAUCUGUAGCUGGUCUGAGAGGACGACCAGCCACACUGGGACUGAGACACGGCCCAGACUCCUACGGGAGGCAGCCGUGGGGAAUUUUGGACAAUGGGCGCAAGCCUGAUCCAGCCAUUCCGCGUGCAGGACGAAGGCCUUCGGGUUGUAAACUGCUUUUGUACGGAACGAAAAGGCUCUGGCUAAUACCUGGGGCUCAUGACGGUACCGUAAGAAUAAGCACCGGCUAACUACGUG
This 484-nucleotide ribosomal RNA is filed under the name uncultured bacterium. RNAcentral's name for it is "partial 16S ribosomal RNA". It matches the Rfam family "Bacterial small subunit ribosomal RNA", at positions 30 to 507 of the family's 1533-position model. The record is from RNAcentral.